AGAGCUGCUAGUUUGCUUCAUGUACUUUUUGUAAUACUCCUCUCCAGUCCCUUUCCUAUCAACAUGACAACUGCUCUAGGAAAGACAGUCGAUAGAGGUUAUUAAAAUGGACACAAAGCAGCUAAAGAUUUCCAGAGUUCCUGAACAAAGCAACAUAAUGAGUGGAUUAAAUGAAACAGGACUGAAGAAAUACAGCCGUGAAUCAGGCCCCAUGGCUGAACCUGGUCCAAUUGUCGGAGGAAUUCACUAAAGAUUCAGCUGUCGUGAACAGAACAUUUUGAAUGGUUUAGCAUCAGGCC
This is a long non-coding RNA of Mauremys reevesii (Reeves's turtle), 299 nucleotides long. RefSeq lists it as uncharacterized. The transcript has 3 exons. The record is from RefSeq and is a predicted model, not a curated record. NCBI's taxonomy places the organism in Eukaryota, Metazoa, Chordata, Testudines, Geoemydidae.